GCACAACCUCUGUAUUCUUUACUGUUUUUACUGGUUCUUGUUGUUUUCUUCAUUUUAAUCGGUGAAUUCUGUGUUUUCUUGGAUGUUUUAUCGUUUAAUAUCCCUUUUAUACAAUUUAAACGGUUAAUUUGCUUUGGAACAUUCAUCAAACACUUUUCGCUUCCAAACCUCUCUAUUGUUAUAAGUUCUUAUUGUUUUCUUGUGUUUAAUCUGUUCUUUUGUUG
Molecule: long non-coding RNA, 224 nt
Filed under: Phaseolus vulgaris (common bean)
Lineage: Eukaryota; Viridiplantae; Streptophyta; Magnoliopsida; Fabales; Fabaceae
Description: long non-coding RNA (PVUL_LNC004559)
Source: RNAcentral